GAUGAACGCGGGCGGCGUGCUUAAUACAUGCAAGUAGAACGCUGAAGCUUGGUGCUUGCACCGAGCGGAUGAGUUGCGAACGGGUGAGUAACGCGUAGGUAACCUGCCUCUUAGCGGGGGAUAACUAUUGGAAACGAUAGCUAAUACCGCAUAAAAGUCGAUAUCGCAUGAUAUUGAUUUGAAAGGUGCAAUUGCAUCACUAAGAGAUGGACCUGCGUUGUAUUAGCUAGUUGGUGAGGUAACGGCUCACCAAGGCGACGAUACAUAGCCGACCUGAGAGGGUGAUCGGCCACACUGGGACUGAGACACGGCCCAGACUCCUACGGGAGGCAGCAGUAGGGAAUCUUCGGCAAUGGGGGCAACCCUGACCGAGCAACGCCGCGUGAGUGAAGAAGGUUUUCGGAUCGUAAAGCUCUGUUGUAAGAGAAGAACGAGUGUGAGAGUGGAAAGUUCACACUGUGACG
RNAcentral lists this ribosomal RNA (464 nucleotides) under Streptococcus parasanguinis. RNAcentral describes it as "bacterial SSU rRNA". It matches the Rfam family "Bacterial small subunit ribosomal RNA", at positions 28 to 474 of the family's 1533-position model. The record is from RNAcentral. Lineage: Bacteria; Bacillati; Bacillota; Bacilli; Lactobacillales; Streptococcaceae.